This 500-nucleotide ribosomal RNA is filed under the name uncultured bacterium. Its description in RNAcentral is "partial 16S ribosomal RNA". It matches the Rfam family "Bacterial small subunit ribosomal RNA", at positions 30 to 523 of the family's 1533-position model. The record is from RNAcentral.
AUUGAACGCUGGCGGAAUGCUAUACACAUGCAAGUCGAACGGCAGCACGGACUUCGGUCUGGUGGCGAGUGGCGAACGGGUGAGUAAUAUAUCGGAACGUGCCCAGUCGUGGGGGAUAACGUAGUGAAAAUUACGCUAAUACCGCAUACGAUCUAAGGAUGAAAGCGGGGGAUCGCAAGACCUCGCGCGAUUGGAGCGGCCGAUAUCAGAUUAGGUAGUUGGUGAGGUAAAGGCUCACCAAGCCAACGAUCUGUAGCUGGUCUGAGAGGACGACCAGCCACACUGGAACUGAGACACGGUCCAGACUCCUACGGGAGGCAGCAGUGGGGAAUUUUGGACAAUGGACGCAAGUCUGAUCCAGCCAUUCCGCGUGCAGGACGAAGGCCUUCGGGUUGUAAACUGCUUUUGUACAGAACGAAAAGGUCUCUAUUAAUACUAGGGGCUCAUGACGGUACUGUAAGAAUAAGCACCGGCUAACUACGUGCCAGCAGCCGCGGUAA